UCCCUUGCAGCGCCCUCCCGCGGCCCGGAGGUCUCCGCUGCGGUCCUCCCGCUGCAGCAGCCGAUGGCAGCGCGGCCUCGGGCCUGGGAUUGAUGUUCACCCGGAGGGAGAGUGAAGGGGGCCCGGGGCCGGGGCCAUGAGUAAACAGGACGAGGCGGACAGGACAAUCUUUGUGGGGAAUCUGGACAGCAGCACCCGGGAGGAGAUCCUGUUCGAGCUCUUUCUGCAGGCUGGGCCUUUGACCAAGGUGCACAUCGCUAAAGACAAAGAUGGCAGGCAGAAGACCUAUGGGUUCGUCUGCUUCAAGCACACAGAGUCCGUUCCAUAUGCCAUCACCUUGCUAAAUGGAAUCAGAUUAUAUGGCAGACCGCUGAAUCUGCAGUAUCGCUCUGGGAGCUCCCAUACAGUGGGGUUGGAAAACUCACCGUGCCAAGCACCACAAGAGAGCUUCAGGAACCCUCCAUUCCAAGACAGACCAGGUUCUUCGCUGUAUCUAACUCCACCAUACUCCAUGAACAACCAUGUCAACCCUGACCCUUACUACUGGCAAACUAUGCUUGUUUUGCACCUAUAACAAAGUCUGACAUCUGGAUUAUGAUGGACAAAAUGCACGCACAUGUACCAUUUUUACAUAAACUAGAAAAUUCUCCGUGAAGCGGCUGUUGCUUCGAUCCCAAGAUCAUGCUCAUCUUUUCACUGCCACUGUACCUUAUGCCAACGUUGGCAGUGCCAUCGGGCUAGGGGGCUUGGGCUUUCUGACACCCUCCCUACACUAUCGCUGGACAAGCUGGUUUUUAGACCUGAAACAAUCUUGUGGAGGAAGACGACCAUGCUUGGCUCAAGGUGUCUGAGGAGAACCAGUGCUUGCAAAACUGCACUCUGGAAAUCGUCAGCGCACACAGGGAGGGAGGGAAACAUGGCGUUGACUGGGGUGGGCAGAACGGAGAUGGGAUAGGGACAGAAAUCUUGUGGUGGUUCACCAUUCUGGUCUGCUCCUCUUUUCAGAUGAACACUUACGCCCUGCAGCAGUACCACAUCAAUUCUCAGAUGGUUCAGCAGCAGCAAUAUUACCAGGCAAUGGCACAAGUGGGACUCCCAGCUCAGAUGUCCCAUUUCAGUCCGAUGUCAGAGUACAUGUCCAAGUCACAUCAGCCUGCAUGGGAAAAUUGUCUACAGAGGGACCGAGUCCCUGAGAACUGCUCCAGCAGUGGUGGAGGAGGACAAGCGAGGGAAUCAGACAGCGACAGUGACAACAGAAGCAUGGAAAAGCUCCAGACAACCAGCAAGCAGCGGGGUCAUCAGUACAAAAAGCACAAAUCCAAAAAGAAAAAGUACUGAUACGCAAGGUUGUGAGGGUAGGAUGAAACUGGGGGAGCUCAGAAUAGAGGCUCUGCCUUUAUCCUCUGGUAAAGAUGUGUGAAAGACCUGACAGAAAUAAGACCAAUUUUGUAACACUUGACAAGAAACAUAUCCUGACAAAUUUUCAGGUGACAAGUUGGAUUGUACGCUCAAAUCCACAGCCUGAUGUAAGAUUAAGUAGGUGGAGAAUGUGGCUCUGAGAAUACUGGUGUCACAAAGAUGGAUUAAUGGUGAUAGUGUUAUCACAGGGGGUUGAGUAAUGUAAUUGUUUAUGGGUGUCUGAAACAUUUCAUGAACACUCCACUCAUACUGUGAAAUACUUAUAAUGUCACUGCAAAAUUAGGGUGUAUCUGGAGAGAAGGUUUAGAACUUUUUGCAACUGGAGUACCUUUCUGCUGGUUCCACCUCUUCACACCAGCAACAUUGCGAAUGGGAGCAAUUGAACUGAUGAACUUAAGUGCAUUAGGUCACUUUAUACUUCAUUGGUUUUGGUUUCUGACUGAAUGAUACGUAACUAGCUCUUGCACUUGGGAACAGUAUAUGGUAGACUUACCCAAAUCUUUGCUAUUAGUGGGGAACUGUGUUUGAGGGUGGCAUGGUUGAGUGGAGUGGCGCUACUCCAGGCCACACUGCCUUCUACUGCUUGUUCCUGCUGUGAAGGUGGGAAUACCAAUAAAUUCAUAGCUGGCUAAUUCAUUGUCUCUUUUGCACAUUAAAUGCUGUUGCACACUGCCUUACCUUGAAA
Rhincodon typus (whale shark) is the source of this 2104-nucleotide RNA transcript. It is a transcript of the gene named splicing regulator RBM11-like, with no coding region annotated. The transcript is spliced from 6 exons. NCBI's taxonomy places the organism in Eukaryota, Metazoa, Chordata, Chondrichthyes, Orectolobiformes, Rhincodontidae. The record is from RefSeq and is a predicted model, not a curated record.